AUACUUACCUGGCAGGGGAGAUACCAUGAUCAUGAAGGUGGUUUCCCCAGGGUGAGGCUCAUCCAUUGCACUCCGGAUGUGCUGACUCCUGCGAUUUCCCCAAAUGUGGGAAACUCGACUGCAUAAUUUGUGGUAGUGGGGGACUGCGUUCGCGCUUUCCCCUG
This 164-nucleotide small nuclear RNA is filed under the name Bison bison bison. RNAcentral describes it as "U1 spliceosomal RNA (ENSBBBG00000017666.1)". It matches the Rfam family "U1 spliceosomal RNA". Rfam says of the family: U1 is a small nuclear RNA (snRNA) component of the spliceosome (involved in pre-mRNA splicing). Lineage: Eukaryota; Metazoa; Chordata; Mammalia; Artiodactyla; Bovidae. The record is from Rfam by way of RNAcentral.